GACGAACGCUGGCGGCGUGCUUAACACAUGCAAGUCGAACGGAAAGGCCCUGCUUUUGUGGGGUGCUCGAGUGGCGAACGGGUGAGUAACACGUGAGUAACCUGCCCUUGACUUUGGGAUAACUUCAGGAAACUGGGGCUAAUACCGGAUAGGAGCUCCUGCUGCAUGGUGGGGGUUGGAAAGUUUCGGCGGUUGGGGAUGGACUCGCGGCUUAUCAGCUUGUUGGUGGGGUAGUGGCUUACCAAGGCUUUGACGGGUAGCCGGCCUGAGGGGGUGACCGGCCACAUUGGGACUGAGAUACAGCCCAGACUCCUACGGGAGGCAGCAGUGGGGAAUAUUGCACAAUGGGCGGAAGCCUGAUGCAGCAACGCCGCGUGCGGGAUGACGGCCUUCGGGUUGUAAACCGCUUUCGCCUGUGACGAAGCGUGAGUGACGGUAAUGGGUAAAGAAGCACCGGCUAACUACGUG
This 468-nucleotide ribosomal RNA is filed under the name uncultured bacterium. Its description in RNAcentral is "partial 16S ribosomal RNA". It matches the Rfam family "Bacterial small subunit ribosomal RNA", at positions 28 to 507 of the family's 1533-position model. The record is from RNAcentral.